GGUACAUGAGGGCCAAGACCAGAUGGGUGAGGUCGCAUUGAGUCAUUUCCGCCAAAAUAGACGAUCACCAGGGAUGGUUGUGUGGCUGCAUCCUAGCAUUGAGGUAGUUACAGAAAUUUAGCUGCAGAUUCUUUAUUAAUUGACACUAGACCAAAAAAAUAAGAAACGUUGAUGAUCACGAGAUGUGAUCUUAAGAACAUAAACUAGACAUCCUCCACAAACAAUUGCUGCUAAAGCUUUUCAGCAUGCAGCCCCAUCUGGAUACAAUGCCGAUGAGCAAACGAUGUAUCUACAAGCAAAAUGCCGAAAAUGUAUAACUUCAAGAAGGGCAGAAAAUUAUUAAGAGCCCAAGGAUUUGAGCGAUACCUUUGGAAACACUUUUUCCAGGACUUCAAGUGCGAGCCUCGAGUUCCAUCCGGAGUACCCCCUCAAGAUUAUGUCUGCCUGCACAAUUCACGGCUUCUCUAGUAUUCCAGACAACCAAAUGAAAUAAGGGUCGAAAACUGAGUUCCAAACUGGAAAAUUUUCACCAUUGCUUCAGUUCUUUGAUUUCUUCUGUUACUUUUUCAGUCGGUAUUACGGUUGGCUUUUGACUUACGGCAAUUCUCUGAGUCUAUCUACAAUCAUUCAUAGCUGGUUUCUUUUUUUCCCAACCUUCUGUUUGGCAAGUUAACAAUUUCUUUUUGAGCAACAUUUUAACAAACUUUUAGGGAUCUAUCACAACAAUGAGGGUCAUGAAUGGCAGCUUUUCAACUCCAGAGUGCAAAAAUUCACCCAUUUUGACCAACAGGGUCCCACCACCAAUAUGCAAUUGGAUGUGGUAGCAAAGGAUCACGACCUUCAUGUUCCCACAUCAAUUGGGUCCAAAGUUCGAAACUUUUGACCAACAUUCAUGCCAUCUUCAGAAAAAAAGAAGAAGGUUCAUUUAUUUGAAUGAAAAAAAUAAAAAUAAAAAGUUAAUAGAAACAGGGUUAUAUCGUAAAAAUUCUUCUUUUUUUUUUUAUUUCGCAUUUAUCGUUGCAGAGUGACAAAUAUUCAUCGAAAAUCUGUGAAACAGAGGCCACAGCUCCUCCGACAGUUCUUUCCACCGCGAUCCCAUCGUCAACGGAGCAUGCCCAUGUAACCUUUUCUUGAUCUUCCAAUGUCGCUAAACGCAGCCUCCAAAAAUGGAAAGAAGAACAAAACAAAAACGAAGGAAAAGCAUAAAAAAGAAAAGGUGUGCCACGAUUUGGUCAAUCUCAAAACCGAGAUAAGAUCGAUGGACUUUUUUCCCCGGGGGUGCGCGGGUCCCGCCGCCACCGUCGCAGUGGGAUCGAUUCGGCCGUACUGAGGUAAGAAAGAAAGAAAUUGUGGUGGGAGGGAGGGAGCUUGAAGUGACCCACGUAGACAGGACGUCGGAAACUGCGCAGGAAUUCUGUCCCACGACGCGAGUUCGCGAUAACGUUGUAACUUUGUCCCUCGACCCAAAAAAGAAAAUUCGAGAAAGUACCGACCCCAGGCCAGACCCAUCAUUAAUCUCAUCCUUCAUCAUCCUUUCGGAUAGAAAAAGAAGAAAAAAAGAAGCAAGAAAGCAAGAACAAUGGAAAUGGAUACUGGACGAGGAGGAGGAGGACGAGGAGGAAGGGAGGAAGAAGAAGACCUUGCGGGCGUACAGGUCGGCGAGGGACGCACCCCAUCCUCCGUUGCCGAAGCUGAGCUGGACUAUCGACGAGCCGAACAGCACGAACUGCGCUCUCUCCGGUCCGACCAUUUCUCUCUGUUUCUCUCUCGUUCCCUGCUCUGCUCUGCUCUGGUUUCGAGAAUGACAAAAAAAGAAAUGCUUUGCGAGCACGCCACUUCGGCAGUCUAAAUAAAUUGCUUUUACUUUCGUUUGGUAUGCAUUAAUUGGUCCACACCGACAAGACUUUAUUAGUGUGGUACGCAUUCAUUUAAUAAAUGAGGUAUGGAAAAUGACACGAUUGAUACGACAAAGACACUGGGUUCAUAUAUAUAAUCGAGUGAGAAUAUUCUCACAAGGGUUUCUUUUUAUAAUAUAUUUGGUUGGCGUCAAAGAACAACCUCACAUGUGAUAUUGCGUUACGACAUGACAAGAAUGCGCUUUAUUGUAUGUUAUUAAAUCGUGUUGGAAAUUAAUUGAUUCAUCCUGUUAGGUCAUCCACUAUUUGUAACAUUGACUUUAAAAAAAGGGUAGAGAGAAAGGAAAAUGAUGAUGAAGAAUGGAAAAUAGACAUCGAUUUAUAGUGAACACUCAUUUGAUAGGCACUUUUAAAAUGCAUUUCCAAAAUUUCUUGUAUAAUAAAAAAAAAUAGGCGCACGAAGAAUGGUUCAUUGAAGUUUCUUAAGAGAUUCUUGCUCUAAACCCCUUGAACUUUGGCACUAUUACAUUAUAAGCUCUCAAAUAUUGCAAAAUUAUGGAUUACUCACAGAAGUUUUCACAUUAUUGCAUAGUAAGUCUCGAAUUUUGAAAAGUUACACGGUUGCUCUUUAAUCUUUGUCAUAGUUUUUAGUUGCUCCUUCUGCAUAGUCAUUUGGUGGAACCUAAAAAUGGAGUUACUUAUUUUCUUUAUCGAAAUUGCCUCUAUUACAUGUUUUAUGAAGUCAAGAAGAGAGAAAAGAUCCAUGGUUGAUGAGGUUUAGAAAAUUUAGAAAAGAUCAUUUCGGUCGAAGAAAAUGAGUUAGUCUAUUUUCAAGUAAUGCUUGCCUAAAUGUAUGUAUGAUGGACAAACAUAUAAUCAAUUAAUAUAGUGCCUUGAUUCCUAGACUACUCGGAUAAAUUUAUGCACUCUAUCAAAAAACCAAGAGAAAAUUGUCCAAAAUAUCCUAAAUCUAUCAUACAAUAGCCAAUUUAGUUAUAGAAUUUUUAUUUUGAUAAAUUUAAUCCAAAAUCUUUUGAUAAUUCAGCAAUAUAGUCAUUUUUGUCAAUUUUGACGGGAAAUUGCUAAAGUGAAUGCCGGUUGUUUGACACAAUCGAUGUUGAGGUCGUUUUGCAAUUUUUUUUGAAUUUUUUCUGCUUUUUUUUUUUUUCCUUUUCUUCUUUUAUUCUUAUUUCCCUCCACUGGCCCAUGGCCUCAGUGACGGUGUCAUAGCCUUUGCCUAUGGUUGGCAACCUCUGCCAACCAUUGCCAAGGCUGUGAACUAGCGGAGGAAAUAGGAAAAAAAGAAAAAGGAAACAAAGGAUACAAAAAGCAAAAGAAAAACACAAUUAGAAAAAUUUUAAAAUUUUGCAAAAAUUGCCCAUGUUAAUGAGACCAUGCCACAUAGGAUGGCCAAUGUCUAUAUUAGCAAUUUUCGAAAGAACUAUAUUGACAAAUUAUCAAAAAAGUUUGGAACUAAAUUGACCAAAUUAAAAAUUAUAUAUAUAAUAGGUUUAUGACAUUUUGAACAAUUAUCAUGAUAUUUUGACCCUCAUUUUCUCCAUUGAUAAUCGGUUCUCCGCCAAUCAACAUUUAAUUGCGUUGAUGUUGCAUUAGCCAGUAAGUUUCCAACAAUUUUUGUUUAACUGAUUUCUAUACCUUAAAUAGUCGGGUUCUUAUCACAUCGGUACAAGUUUAGGUGUUUUGGCAACACACUAAAAAGUAUGGGCUAGUUUAGAAUUCUCGAUGGUACAGUAAAUUUAAGUUAGUGUUGCAGUGGACAUAGUUUAGAAAUUUUUUUAUGUUAUUUAAUUAAAAAAAAACCUUUUUUAGGGAUAAAAAUGAUAAUCUUGAUGUACUUCAAUGUAAAAGUGGAGAAUGCGAAGUACGGUUCACUGAUUUUUUAUUUUUAUUUUUAUUUUUGGUAAAGGUAAUAAAUACGGUUCACUGAUUUUUUAUUUUUAUUUUUAUUUUUGGUAAAGGUAAUAAAUACGGUUCACUGAUUUUUUGUUGAGCAGGUCAUUGAUCAAAACAUGGCCCUAGGAACCAUUUAUAUCUUGAAAAUUGAGUGAAUAUACAUUGCAAUAUAUAUAUAUAUAUAUAUAUAUAUAUAUAUUUUUUUUUUUUUACGGUUGAUAAAGCAUAACUUGUGGAUAUAAAAAAUGGUUCACUCCUUGUGUUUGGUGGCAACACAUAUAAGAAAUUGCACCACAAGUGAUGAUUGUUAUAAAUGGUAUGCAAUCAAGUCAUAAAUCUUUUAAUCAAUUCAUUCAAAUCUAAUCCUUUUAUCAAAAUAUGCAAACGAGUCAUAAACCUGAGUUUUAUUAAGUUGAAGAUCAUGACAUACUUUUCAAAUUAUAAAGCGGAUUACAAAGGGAAAAAAUAUUAGAAUAGUCAUAAAUCUAUUGUAUUGAUGCCAAUUUAGUUCUAAAUAUUUUGACUUGAUGCAAAUUCAGUCAUUCUAGCUAAUUUUGGUCAAAUAUUGCUGAUGUAGAUGCUGGUUGGACGUGGCAUCAUCGAUGUUAAUGUGGACAAUUUUUAAUAAUAUUUGAAUAUUUUUUUGAUAUUUUGAUUUUUUUUCUCUCCUUUCUUCAUCCUUUUGCUGGUGACCGAUCACUAGCCACAGGCCAUGGCCGACUCUCACCCAGGUUGAAGCGACCUUCCUCAAGUGAAGACGACCCUUGGUGAGGGAAGCCCAUGUUGUUGGCCCUCGCCCAGGCGAAGGUGACCCUUGAUGAGGUUGCCUUGGCCUGGCCGAGGGCUAGCUUCGCCAAAUUUGGAGAGGAGAGUCCUCACUAGGGUUGCCCUUGCUAGGGCUACCCUCACCUAGGCUAGAUCUGGUAAGGCUAGCCCGCCUUGCCAUCGCCUGUGGCCAAUCACUGGCAAAAGGAAGAAGAAAUGAGAGAAAAAAAGAAAGAAAGAAUAAUAAUAAAAAAAUUGAAAAUUUAUUAAAAAUUGUCAACAUCAACAUUGGCGAUGCCACAUAAGCCGGCCUGUCUCCAUGUUAGUUAUAUCUAGCCAAAAUUAGCUAGAAAGACUGAAUUGGCUCCAAGUCAAAAGAUUUAUGACUAAAUUGACACCAUAAAUAAAUUUAGGAGUAAAUUGGCACAAAUACAAUAAAUUUAAGACCUUUUUGACACUUUUCCCGAUUAUAAAGUCUUCAUUAAUCUAUACUAACUAUGGAUGAAUGUCACGCUUCUAUUUUCAAUUUCAUUUCGGCUUUGAAAAAAUCACCCCUCUGUCUUAAACUCUCCAUCUUUAGAUGUGGGUGCUCUAAGUUCAAACAUUUCUAGACCUCUUAUUUACCUCACUUUUUUUUUUCAUGCUUUAAUAUGAGACUCCAACUCAACUUACACGUGAGGAGGGUGUUAGAAUAUUGAUAUAUUAAAUUACAUCUUCAUAUAAAUUUAAAUUUUUAGAAUAGUUGACAAUAUAUCCAUAAAAUCUCACAAAAAAUUAUAAAGAAGAAGUUGUUUGUAAUGGAUUAAAUGGGCAAAUUUGGGUUAUACAAGCCAAAGAAUUUGAUCUGAGCCAUCUUCUUAGUCCCCAUCCAUGUGGUUGAGCAAAAUCCUCAAGUGAUGGCUACAAGCUGAUUUGAUGCAGGCCUGUUUGGUUUAGUUUUGGGGAAAUACCCUUGGGAGAAUGCAAAUACCUUUGAGAUAAAGAGGUUUUCCGAAAUGCAAGACUGUUUGGUAAACAUAUAUUUGAAAAGCCCUUUAGUAUGACCAACUUAAGUUUUUUAGUUUUAGUAUUUUUAAAAUUGCAAAAAAGAAACAAUGACUAUAUAACUUUUUACAUUUUCAUGUUGAGAGUAAUUAAAACAUAUAUAUUAGUAAAUUUAUUUAAAAAUUAUAUUAAAAGAAUUUGAUUAUAGAUUAAAUGCAAAGCUCAACUUUUGGCCUAGGGGUUUUUAGGUUUGUUUUCAACUUUGAAUAUUUUUUUUUUAAAUUAUUGUAGUAUUAAUCAUCUUCAUUAAUUAAUGAUCAUUCUAGUGUAUUGAUAAAAAUUUGGGCUACUGAUUGUCAAAAGAUAAAAAUGGCAAAAAAAGAAGAAGAAGGUGAACCCAACAUUUGCAAAGGGCUUUUAUUAUUUAAAAAAAAAAACAUAAAAUCCGAUGAAACUCCAUCGCCGAUCAACGAUGGUUAGGGUGUGGGGAAGAUGAUCAGUUUAAAAAAAAAAAAGAAGUCAAUGGAUGAACAGUAGAGGUGGACUUGCAUUUCCGAAAUGCUAAAAGCCCAAAACAGGUCUCCAUGUGUUUUAAGCUUUCAGCAUUUUAAAGGCCAUCAUUUGGCCAAUGACAUCUCCAAAUGCUGAAUCAAGUACCUAAAUUUUUUCCCAAAGGACUUUCAGCCCUGAAAGCCCAUUGGGAAUGCUGAUCCAAACGGGGCUAAGUCAGAUAUCCAAGUUCAAAUUGCCCGUCAUGUCUCAACGGAUACCACCAAAUAUACUUGCUACUGCAAAUAUGUCAAUGUUGCCUUAUUUGUGUAUUUCAUCCAGCAUGUUACACCUCUGAACAAGUCUCGGCUUCAAGUUGCAAAACAUUCUCGUGAAAAGUGGCAAAUUAAGGUUGUCUCUCAUUUCAAGAACUUGAUUAGAAGAUCUUCUUUUGGUCCUUAAGUUUUGUCAUCUUGAGAAUAAGGUUUCCUGAGAGCAUUUUCUGUGUAGAGACAAAUCCAUAGCUGGAGGUUCACAUUGAAGGGAAGAUCGAAGCAUGAAAGACUCGGGCGGAUUAAGCUGUGACAUUUCUUGUUUCUCGUCUCUAGUGAGCUCUCUCACAUACAAAAAAAACUGAACUGUGCAAUUGCUGCCUUGAAGAUGGUGCUCUUUUCUUUUUUUUUGAGAGCUAGCGCUUCAUCUAAGUUUUGCAGCAGUUUUUCUAGUAGUAUAUAUGGUAAAACAAUUUUUUGGGUUGAUGAAGGUAUGAAACCUUGUAGCUGGCUGAGAAUGUCUUCAAUAAAUUUAAAGUGGGUAUAGAAUGCAAGUAUAAAGAAAAAUAUUGCAUAUACAACUAUAGAAGGCACAUCAUGGAAGGGAAUUGAGAAAUUAUUACAAAAAAGUUACCACUAUAUAGGUAGAUUUGUUUAGAAACUAUACACGUACAAUAUGAACUAAUUUCAUGAACAGACGAGGUAUUUUACGAAUCCAAACAUGAUUUACAAACUUUAAUUAGUAAUUGUAAUAAAAGGCAGAGAAUUACUACUGUUGACACCUAAUUUUGGAAAAAUAAAAUUGCAUUUUGAACAAAUAAAAGGAAAAAUGAAAAAAAAAUGGAGGAAGUCGAUUUGAUUGAUUAUGCAUGGAAAUUUGAAAUUCUGAUGGAUAUUCAGAUUUUGAUAAAAUGGAAGGAAUCGGUGCAAAAUCGAGCUGAUUGCAAAAUCAUGCUCCGAUUUGUAUCCUUGAUUUAAUGCAACAGAAGAUGGAAGUUUGAAAUAUGCCAUACAAAGCAGCUGUUCGGAAUCAGUAUAAAAGAGAGCUUUAUUUUUCGUAAUUAGGGGGCGAAAAAAAAUUAGGGUGAAUUCAAAAGAAUCUAGAGAGAAAAUUCUUGCGAUCAUCCAUCUUAGUCAAAGGGAAAACCCUUUUUCCCUCCUUUCUCUGACAAGAAAAAGUCAAAAAGAAAAUACAGUAGAGAGAAGAGACAGAGAGAGGAGACGUAGGAAGUGACGUGAGGGAGAGAAAAAAAGAAAGAAAAAAAAAGGAAACGCUACAGUGUCGUCUUCUCCAAAGGGGCCUCCCGAUCAUUCCAGGCGUGCCCGCGCCGUCCAGCGCGCUGGCCAGCGUGUAGGUGCGACCACCCCCGGCCUCAGCCGCAUCUCCGCCACCGCGCCUCUCCCCCGCCGGUGAUCCCUGCUACCCAAAUUGACGCCCACUGCCGCGCCUUUGCACCCACGACCUGCUGCUGCCCAGCCCGACGCCGGAGCUCCGAAGCCUGCCGCUCCUGACCUCGCUGCGCCACCGCGCCGCUUGCCUCAGCCCAGCACCCGACACCUUGCGGCCCCGCCUUGACUGCCCGUUGCAGCAACUUGCACUGACCCCCUCUGCUCCGCCUGCAGCUACACCACCGCCCAGUAGCUCGAGGCGCUGCUGCUGUUCUCCGCCAGGCAACCCAACGCCGUUGCCUCCUGCUCGCUUGUCACCGCGCCAGAGUGCUGCCCGAUUCGACGCACCCCUAUGCCGGAGCUUGACGCCGUCGCCGCCCAGCAGUCCGCGACGCCCCAACGCCAGCCGAGCCCCGCACCGCUGCCGACGUCGCCACCUAGCAACCCGCGGUCCAGCUCCACCUCCGCUCCGUUCGAACACCGCUGCCUUGCGACAACCAACGCCCGACACCCACGGUAGCCCAUCGUCCUACAAAUCGAGGCCACAAGCAACACCCGAGACAUUUACUCGCCGCACCACCGCUCGGAGUCCGACGCCGUGCGCCUCUGCAACCGGCGACCCACCCAUCGCUAAGUCCGGCCCGUUGCUCGCCUCCGCCUCAGAAUCCCGCUCACCAACGUUGCUGCAAGUCCCCUCCCCUCGUUUAGGUAGUUUAGUUUAUUUUUUUAUGUUAUUUUUAUUUUAUUUGAUAGCAUCUUUAAGUUUAGUUAUCUAAAUUGCAAUAUUGGAUGUUAAUAUUUGUGAAUUUAGUAUGCAUUAUCUGCAGGGAUUUUUAUUUGGAAUUAUUAUAAUUAUUAAUUUGAUCCGAAAGACAUUGGAUCAUUUUUUUAAUUAUUUUAAUUGUUGGGCUUUUUAGUGAGAUUUUAAUUGUUAAAUCACAAUAAUUAUUUAAUUUGGUUCGUAAGACUUCAGAUCAGAUUUGUAAUUAUUUUGAUCUCUUUGCUGUGAUAAUUAAGGUUAGAAUAACCAUUAAUUUGACCUGUGAGACGAUAGGUUAUUUUUUCGAUUAUUUUAAUCCUUCCUCGCUUGAUUUUGUUGAUAGUUUAGAUUUAAUAAUUACUUAUCUCUUAAAAAAAACUAAAAAAAUCAUAAAAUCAAAAAAAAAAAAAUCAGAAUUCUGUAUGAGCAUAUAGGUUUAGUAAAUCAAGCAUGUAGGUUUAGCAAAUUAGAAUUUUCUUAGGAUUACAUUUUUAGGAUUGCAUUUUUUAGGAAUAAGUUAGGGUUGAACCUAAAUAUUUUUUUUUGGGUUUUAGAUAAUGUUCGCAUAUUCUAAUUAUCUCAUUUUCCCAAAAAACAAAAAUAGUUUUCUAAGAUAGGACAGGGUUUAAGUCAAAUUAAUCCCUAGAAUAGAUUAGAAAAUUAUCCAUUUUUAGAUAGAUUAAUUAGGAUCUUUAUAAAUUCUGAAUAUCAAUAAAAAAAAAUCCAAAAAUACUAGGUGCAUGUUAACUAGUUUGCAUAAUAGGAUUAUUUAAUCAGAACUUGUUAAUUAGUGAAGUUAGGUCAUGAGGUGCAUAAUAAUUAGUUUGCAUAAUAGGCCCAUUUAAUUAAAAUUUGCAUAUUAAUAAGAUUAAUUCAUUUAGUUUAAAAAUGCAUUUUUAUAAGAGAAUUCUAAUUUUUAAGAAAAUCCAAAAAAAAAAAAAAAUGAUUGCUUGCUUUGUGUGAUGCAAUUUAUUUAUUUGAAUGUUUUAAUAAUGGAUGAGCACCCGUGUGGUCACCAUUUGCAUGAUAGUAAUAUAGCUUAAAAUAAAUCAAAGCUGCCUGAAAAAACAUUUUUGAAAUUAAAAAGAAAUGAUACUGAAAGGGCAUUAGAAAAUUCUAGUGUAACCAAGUCCCCGUACCCUUAGUCUCUGGUUCAUAGGAGUAAAAUAAAUCUCAAUUUAUUUUACUUAGGUGUCUAAUCGACCUACCAUAAACCGAUUAGUAGCGACUCCUAGAUAUUAAUCAUUUGCACGUUAAAUAAUUGAACAUUAAGUCGCGAUUUGGGUAUGGGCUUGGGAAAGCCCGAGCUAAGUUUUUUUAAAAAAAAAACUUAGUAGUCCAUUAACCUAGUUUUAGGUGGUGCACCCGAAAAACAGGUCGCGACAGCUUGGCGACUCCACUGGGGAAAUUGUGUUGAAAAACUUAGUGGACUUAGGCCAAUUUUCUUUUUAAAAUGUUUUUGUUUGGCAACGAGGAUCCCAGGUAUGUCCCUAACAUUUCUAAUGUGUUAAAUGUUCUUGCAGAUGGGAGGUAUAAGAGGAGUAGUCUAUGCUAACCUUUGUCUUGCAGGUUGGAGUGUGAGAUUAAUGAUUUAUUUUUCCAUGAUUAGAAGUGUUGUUUGCAUUUAAACUGUUGUGCAUGAUUUAUUGUUUUUAGCACUAUACUAUUGCACACACAACUUGUGGCCGGACCUGGGCUGCGAUAAGAUUUCUAGGACGGUGUUGAGAAGGAUACUUCCUCCAAAGCGAGACUGCUAUGUAGAGGUUGACCUUCUCUUCCCCGAAAGUUUUUUCAUGGUGUCGAAUAUGUUUGUCCAUAACCGCGAGACUGCGUGACUAUUGGACAUUCCAUUCGACUGAGCCAGAGUUAGGGGGACCUGACACGUUAAUGCGAGACUGCAACGGUCAGAUCAUCCUCUUAGCUCCACUUUGUUAAGCCAUUUAGAUAGAAAUCGAGCCUCACAUUUCAUGCGUGUGUCUAGGUGCUUGUCAUCCCUUCUGGUGAAAGUAAGUUGUCUAAAUUCUUACUUCGCAAUUUACUUACUUUAUUGCAAUUUUGUCGGUCCAUGACAAUAGGUCUCGUCGUCAGUCUUGUUUUAUAUGCUAUGGGGAGGACCGACGUACAAUUCAUUUCCACUCCGAAAAAAGAGCUCAAGAUGUGGCUGGAUCAGUUAGAUCAAGAUGGCCAGAGGUAUGUGAAGACUAGGAUUGCCCGACUUCUCCCACUAUUGGAGAUCAACAUCCACUCUAGUGUGAUACAAGCACUCCCCCACUUAUGGUGUCCACAAACUUCUACCUUCAUAUUUGGUGAGUACGAAUUGACUCCAACUCUUAAGGAAUAUAGUGUUGCCAUUGGAAUGCCCCUGUAAAAAGAACUUGUUAGACCACCUAUUGGUAUAGAUUCUAUUUCUAAAUUAUCACAGUUUUUAGAAAUCGAAGCCGAAAGAGUGAGGAAAGUUGUCAAAGCCAAUUGUUUUGCAUGCCCAUUUUUGUUUUUGGAAAAAUGUUUUGCAAAUCAAUCAAUGAUUUCAAAAGCUAGGAUCUUCAUGUUAGCAUUUUUCGGGCUAAUUGUUUUUCCUUAUCGAAGAAAUGCCAUUAAUCCUUCAAUUUCAUGGGUGGUUAAUCGUGUUUGUGACGGCUUAAAUUAUGUCAAUAUGGUUUUAGCUUAAACAUUUUUGUCAUUAAACCGUUUCAAACAAAAUGAAGAAAAGACCAUGCGUGCCCUCCCCAAACUUUUACAAAUAUGGUUUUUUAUCCCACAUAAGAGGAUUUGAGCACCUCAUGAAACAAUUUAAGAUUGAUGAUUUUAGGCAUCCCAUACAAAAAUUUGCGGUCUUAGAGCGUUUUUCUCCAAAUAAAUAGUACGCUCGUUGGAUUAAUUUUUUGAAAAAUCCUAAUCCUAAGGCAUUCCUAUGGCAUACUAAAUGGUUUUGAGUUGAGGAGGCUCGUUUCUCACAUAAGCAUGAUGAGCCCAUCCCGUUGUUGGGUCUUUCUGGUGCGACUUCUUAUUACCCAUAUAGGGUGGCCCGCCAGUACAAAGCUCUUCAGGAAGUUCCUCCACCACUCAAGAUAGAGAUGUUCCGGGUUCGUUUUGUUCGAACAGACUAUAACUACUUCAACGAGAUCCAGAUGAUCAUUGCCGCAUGGAAUGAAUGCCACCCAGAGAAGAUUUUGGUGCCCAAAAGACUGAAAGGGGAAGAGGAACUCCACCAUGCGUCGGCAUUCUACAUUCAACAACACCGGAUUCCUGCGACCUUGCGUCCAGUGGUGCCAGAUGUGACUGAGAAGCCCACUCAGCGAGCACAAAUUGAGCAUCUUAAGCGGAAAGUGGAAAUGAUUGAAGCGGAAAAUAAGAAGCUUCGCAAGGCGUUGAAAUCCUGAAAGCAUAUAAAAUGAGAUCUUUUGAAUUUUGAUUCUUAGUCCGAUGUCUAGGAAGUUUGAUUUCGAUUUUCAAUUCAAUGUUUUUAGUUCAAUGUUUAGGGACUUGAAUUUCAAUUCUUAGUUCAUUGUUUGGUUUAAUGUUUCUAGUGAAUUUUGAAUAAAAUCGGGCGAUUAGACCAUUGUCAUGGGCCAUUUUCUAUCCUAUCACUGGUUCUUACGUUCCCUCUUUCUUUAGGUAACAAUGGAUCCUCUGCGAUCUCCAGUUAUUACGCAAUCAAAGGCUAAAAUGGCUAACCAAAGUGAGAUGCGCGAUUGCAUGUCCUCCGUGGAAGAUCAACUCAAACAGUUAGCCGCUUCCAUGCAGCUUGUAACAACUCAACUUCAAUCCCUCCAAGUGAACCCGAUUCCUCCACCCGCUCUCCCCGAGAUAGUAGUCUCGAGGCAAGCAAAUAGGGCCUAAAUGAGUGAUGAUGAAAUGCCCGAGCUGGAAGAUGACAUGGUUCCCAAGACAGAUUAGGAUGAGCGCGUUGCGAAGCUGGAAGAGAAAGUGAGACAGCUACAGGAGUCUCAAAACUCACUCCCGUUUGACCUCUCGGUCUAUGAGAAGGUUAAAAUGCCGAGCAAGUUCAAAAUGCCGGAGUUCGAGAAGUAUGACGGGACAUCUUGUCCAAAGUCUCAUUUGCAGAUGUACCACGUGCGCAUGGCCCAGUACGUAAAAAAUGAGCCUCUUAUGAUCCAGUCGUUUCAUGCAAGUUUGACCGGGCCCGCACUAAACUGGUACGUGAUGAAGAACAUAAACCUCCUCGAAACCUGGAACGAAGUGGCGGACGCAUUCCUCAAACAAUACAAGUUCAACAUGGACAUCGCGCCUUCCCGAGAAGACCUGAAGCGGAUGGAAAAGAAAAGGAGUGAGUCAUUUAAAGAAUAUGCUGUGAGAUGGAGAAACUUGGCGGCUCAAAUUACUCCUGAGCCUACCAACAAGGAGUUGAUGAAGUUGUUCGUAAAGACCCUUCCAUCUGAGUUCCGUAAUCGAAUGGCCAGUACGUAUGUUGAGAGCUUCAAUCAACUUAUUCCUGUAGGAGAACAUAUCGAGAUGGGGAUAAGGGAAUGAUGGUUUUCUGAGCCAUCUACUAAAAGGUUCUUUGCCAAGAAGGAGAAAGAAGCAGCCGUGGAUGUGAAUGUGGCUUAUAGCCAAGAAAGUGCCAAACGUGCCUCGGCUAUACAGGUGAACCCAAGACAGCAACAACUCGCUGCCCGUCAAUCAUUCGCCCAAGCAAAUAAUAGAAAGCAGUUCUCCCCUCUCCCCGGGUCUCCAUCCCAAGUGUUGACAGUCCUCCGAAAGAAGGGUUUGCUCACUAGUGAACCGAAGCGCCCUAACCGUGAAGGCAUUCGUGGUUACGACCCGACGAAGAAGUGUGACUACCAUAACGGUGAAUUGGGGCAUUCAACUGAUGAAUGUUUCACCCUCAAGCACAAGAUCCAGAAUCUCCUUGAUACAAAGGCCUUUUCAUUUCAGACUGCUUAGCCAAACGUUCAAAAAAAUCCGCUACCAGAACAUGAGGGUACAGUGAACGCUAUCCUGGAACCUAAAGUCGGACGGAUAAGGAAUUUAAAGGUGCAUGUGGCAGAUGCAUACAACGGGUUAGUAAGAGCUGGGUAUUACCGAGGUCAAGAAGAUGUCCCUCUAUUAGAGAUGAGAGAAAGAGUUGCUAAAAUGGUGGAUGAUGGCAUCAUUGUGUAUGCUGAUCGUAACUGCAUAGUUUCUACUAUCUCCCACCUUAUCAUCGAUUGGGAGGAGGAAUAGGCUACACUCGAUGCUGACAAGAAAGAGGUUGAUCCUUCGCUUGUAGACAUGCCCCCAUUAGAGGAUGCAUCUGGCGAAGAGAUAGUAAUAGAGGUGCCUUAGCCGUAUGAGUAUGUCAAUGAUAAGGCGGUGCCUUGGUCCUAUGACCUAGAUGUGGACCUUGUAACAAGGUCUGGUCGGACCUAUGGUCAAGCCAGUGCUCAACCUGCAAAGCCGGUCACCGAUGAAGAAGCUAAAGAGUUCCUGGCCGUAAUCAAAGCAAGCGAGUAUAACGUGGUUGACCAACUACGAAAGAUGUCCGCUCAAAUCUCCUUACUUGAGCUCCUGAUGACGUCCCCCAUGCAUCAAAAGUCGCUAAUGAAGGUGUUGAGUGAAAUUCGUGUGCUAGAGACCGUGGAAGCAGACAAGCUGGAAGAAUUUGUGGGAUCGGUCCUUCUUAAGGAUUUGAUUGCCUUCUCUGAUGAGGAAUUCCCUCUUGAAGGCAGGGGACAUAACAAAGCACUCUACAUAUCUGUUAAACACAAGUCUUCCCAUGUGUCCCGUGUGCUCAUCGAUAAUGGGUCUGCUCUAAACAUUUGUCCGUUGGCCACUCUCCACCGCCUCAAGGUAGACCCGUCGAGGAUACAUGCCGCGAAGACUUCAGUGCGAGCUUUCGAUGGAACAAAAAAGGAGGUGAUCGGAGAAAUCCAUCUUGAUGAACAAAUAGGGCCAGUCGUCUUCAACAUUCCCUUCCAAGUGCUGGACAUCCCUACUGCAUUCAAUUUCUUGCUAGGUCGUCCCUGGAUACAUACUGCUAGGGCAGUUCCUUCAAGUCUACAUCAAGCUGUGAAAUUUGUGAUCGAAAGGAAGUUGGUUACCGUGUAUGGUGAGGAAGACCACUGAAUCUAUCAUGAGACGGCUAUCCCCUAUGUAGAGCCGGAUUCCCAGGUUGAAUCAAGUUACCAUUCAUUCGAAUUGGUGUCCACCAUACAUGCUUCUUAGGGUUCAUCACCGCCUACCCCUGAAGUAUCAGAUGCUACUCUCAUGGUGGGAAGAGUAAUGGUCGGGAAUGGUUUCGUCCCUAGCAAUGGUCUUGGGAGAAAUGGUCAGGGCAUUCGAAGCCCCAUUGAAGCCCCUCAGAGGUCCCGUUCUGCUGGUUUAGGAUACCAUGGACGAGGUGGAGGAAGUUCUGAAGGACGAAGACAAGAGAGGCGGAGUUCGCCCCCUGACCAAGGGCGAGAGAGGCAAAACCCACUACCCCCAAGCAUUCACGAGACAUUCCCUAGUCCUCCAAGAAUGAUGCAUGAAGAAGCGGAAGUGAUAGACACUUUGGGGCAGCCUAGUGGCAAGUUUGAUUACUUGGUGAAGUAUUCAACCCCUCCUAGCUACUACAUUGAUCCUAGUGAGAUAGUCCUAGAUGGAUGGGGUGGCAUGGAUGAUCCGACACCCCCGAAAGCAGAGAACCCUAAUGAUGAGCUGGAAGGAGUUGCAAGCUUAUUCGACAACCUCAUCAUAGGAGCCAUUAAUGAAGGACCCCCUGAAGAGAUGGGCCUUGGCCCACAAGAGUAACUCUUUUAUUACUUUUGCACAUUCCCCUGCGUGGGAAUUUUUAUUAUUUUCUGAAUGAUGUUUUCAUUUUCUUCUUUUAUCGAUUGAGUGUUGCAUUUUCUCCAUGCAAUAAAUGUAAUUGAUUAAUGAAUUUCAAUGGAAUUACAAAUUUUAUUUUGAGGGCAUGAUGAGGUACACCAAACCAGCCCGGUGAUGAUAUCCAGCCGAUAAAACAAAAGAAAAAUCCAAGGAGAACUCUGAGGCCUGGUCUUCAUCAUGCUUCCUCGUGUCAAAAUGUUUAAAAAAAUGCUUUUGCAAAAGAAUUUCAAAAAAAAAAUUCACAAAAAAUAAAAUAUGAUUAACCCUGUUUGUCUUUUUGAUCCUUUUAUUUCAUGUUUCAGGGACGAUCAUAUAACAUGCCAAGGUGUGAAAAUGGUCCAAUCCAAUGCAACAAGUGAUGAUAAUGAUGAUCCUGAAGAUUCAAUCGAAGAUUCCAUUAAGGUGCAGCAAAGCUGGGAACAACAUGAAAAAGCCAAGACUCUCACAUCAGAGCAGACUAUCACUAUUAAUUUAAGUGACACUGAGCAAGCCAAUGAGGUGAAAAUAGAGGCGAAUCUCCCCAAAGAUGAGGUUAAGCGCCUAAUUCAGUUACUGAAGGAAUAUAAGGACAUCUUCGCAUGGACCUACGUUGACAUGCCUGGACUAGACCCGUCAAUCGUGGAGCAUUGCCUACCUACUAAUCCAAAUGUGCCACCUAAGAAGCAAAGGCUACGGAGGACUAAGCCCGAACUCUCAAAGAAGAUAGAGGAAGAGGUGAUGAAGCUUUUGAACGUGGGAUUUAUUGAAGUCUCACAAUACCCAGAAUGGGUGGCUAAUAUUGUGCCGGUGAUGAAGAAGGACGGUCGAGUUCGAGUUUGUGUUGAUUAUCGGGAUCUGAACAAGGCUAGUCCAAAAGAUGAUUUCCCAUUACCACACAUAGAUGUCCUUGUGAAUAGUACUGCUGGCUUUGAACUAAUCUCAUUUAUGGAUGGUUUUUCUGGGUACAAUCAGAUAAGGAUGAAGGAGGAAGAUAAUGAAAAGACUGCAUUUAUUACCCCGUGGGGAACCUUUCAUUAUAAAGUCAUGCCUUUCGGACUCAAGAAUGCAGGGACAACUUACCAGCGAGCCAUGGUUGCAUUAUUUCAUGAUAUGAUGCAUAAGGAGAUUGAAGUCUAUGUUGAUGAUAUGGUUAUAAAGACCCGACUAGGAAAAAGCCACAUCGAAACAUUGAAGAAGUUGUUCGAUCAACUUCGUGAGUUCAAGCUUCGUCUAAAUCCCGCUAAAUGCGUGUUCGGAGCAACAUCCGGUAAAUUACUCGGAUUUAUUGUGAGCAGUAAAGGGAUUGAGAUCGGCCCUUCCAAAGCUAAGGCCAUAUGUGAAUUGCAACCUCCAUCAACGGUGAAAGAAGUCCGGAGCCUUUUAGGGAGAUUGAAUUACAUAGCGAGGUUCAUUUCUCAACUCUCUGAAACUGCCAAGCCAUUCUUCAAGCUUCUAAAGAAGAAUGCACAAGUCAACUAGGAUGAUGAGUGUCGAGAAGCGUUCAACAAGCUGAAACAGUACUUGAUAAAUCCACCGGUUCUUGUCCCACCCUCACCGGGGCAUCCUUUGAUUCUCUACCUCACUAUUUAUAGUGAGUCAUUGGGCGCAAUGUUGGCUAAAAAAAGUCCUGUUGACAGAAAAGAACGGGCCAUUUAUUACCUCAGCAAGAAGUUCACUGUAUCAGAGUUGAAAUAUUCUGAGGUUGAAAAGACUUGUGUAGCAUUGGUGUGGGUGUUGCAUAGGUUGCGACAAUACACAUUACAUUAUCAGACAUUCCUCGUGACUGAGAACGACCCUAUCAAGUACUUACUUGAUUGGCCAGCUUUGGUGGGUAAGUUAGCCAAAUGGCAAAUCUUGAUUUCCGAAUUUGAUGUGCAAUUCAUGCCACAAAAGUCAGUUAAGGGCCGAGCGAUCGCUGAUCUAUUGGCCGAGAAUUCAGGAGUCCCUAAUGAUGAUGACACCUUCCUUGAUGACCAUGUCUUGAGUGUAAAUGAAGACUCAUGGAAGAUGUUCUUUGAUGGAGCUGUAAACCUAUCCGGUUCAGGUACUGGAGCAGUUUUGAUAUCUCCAGAUGGGCAACACCAUCCGGUAGCUGCAAAAUUGAUAUUUCCGUGCACUAACAAUGUGGCCGAGUAUGAAGCUUGCAUCCUCGGGCUUCAAGCCGCAAUUGAGAUGGGUGUGGCUAAGUUAAAAGUGUUCGGAGAUUCCGCACUAAUCAUACUGCAGACCGUGGGAGAAUGGAAGACUAAGGAUGCCAAGUUACUCCCAUAUCACAAGUAUUUAGAAAAUCUGGUGAAAGAAUUUGAGGAAGUUUCGUUUCAAUACUUGCUGAGGUCUCAUAAUCAAUUUACAGAUGCACUUGCAACGUUGUCCUCUAUGCUGCAAGUCACUGAUGGGUUGGAAGUUGAACCCCUGAAAAUAGAAGUUUUGCCGAAGCCAGCUUAUUGUAUGAUUGUGACUGAAGAACCUGAUGGAAAAUCAUGGUAUUACGAUAUCAUGAAUUACAUUAAGAAACAGGAAUUCCCCGAAUGAAGCACUCAGGCUGAUAGGAAGUAUAUCAUGAAGAUGGCUUCGAAAUUUUUCAUCAGUGGUGAGAAUUUGUAUAAGAGAUCUUACGAUUCUGUCUUGUUGCGAUGUAUAGAUGCAGUCGAAGCCACUCAAAUCAUGCAAGAAGUGCACGAAGGAGUAUGUGGCUCCCAUAUGAAUGGACAUAUGUUAGCCAAGAAGAUUACGAGGUUAGGCUACUACUGGCUCACACUGGAAAGUGACUGCAUCCGGCAUGUUCGGAUUUGUCACCGCUGCCAGAUUCAUGGAAAUAAGAUAAAUGUUCCUCCAAUUGAGCUGCAUCAGUUUUCAGAGCCAUGGCCUUUCUUGAUGUGGGGUAUUGAUGUGAUUGGCCCAAUCAAUCCCAAGGCUUCAAAUGGACAUCGAUUCAUUUUGGUGGUGAUAGACUAUUUCUCCAAAUGGAUCGAAGCUACAUCCUUUGCAAGUGUCACUGCUCGUAAUGUUGUGAAGUUUGUCAAACGUGACAUAAUUGCUCGCUAUGGUGUCCCUAAAGCAAUCAUCACUGAUAAUGGGACCAAUUUGAAUAACAAACUUGUUGAUGAGUUGUUCGGAGAAUUCAAAAUCAAGCAUCUGAAUUCGUCUCCUUACCACCCUCAAAUGAAUGGAGCUGUUGAAGCGGCCAAUAAGAACAUUAAGAAAAUUUUGGCUAAGACAGCCGUGAAUUUGAAGUGCCUUAGGAUGACGAAGAGCAGUUCUUUCUUUAUCCUACACACUUUUGACUAUUGCAUAGCCCACUUGAGCCUAUAAAUUCAUUUCAUGUCAAACCCAAUUGGUGAUCAUCACCCACACUGGGGCAAGAUGAAAGACAAUCAUUCAGGUAGCAUGGUCUAAAAUGAUCAUAAAAGAAGACUGUGUAAGUCCAUAGAGAAGAAGUGCAAAAUAAAGGCAUGAAAAAGCAGUGUGCCUGGUAAAAGCAAGGCCAAUGCCCAAAAAGAAAAAUCAAACACUUGUGUCGUAUCCCCUACAAGGUGGUACCAAAAAAAAAAAACUCUCAAAUGCUGUUGCAAUCAAUGGAGUUGUGAUAAAAAAUCUUUGACAGUGGAGAAGGAAAGUGGUGAAAAUGUCAAGAUGAUCACCAACUUUGACCCUCCCCUAAACACUUUUGAGCCUAAUGAUCCUUUCAUUUCUCAAUCCAUGAGCCAAGCCUACGUUACGUCCCUUGAAGUCUCUUCAGAUUAUGGCACUUAAAUUAACCUAGGGGUUCUCAUGUUUUAAGAUCACUCGAAGAAGUGCGAGCAAGAUUAUUCCUUUCUCAUUUUGUAGGGUUCUUGACUUGUAAACCUAGAGAUGAUUACAGAAUAUCACUCAUUCUUUCAAAAGCCUCGACUCAAAGAGUCCCUUUUGUUAAGCCGUUGACCAGGCCCACAUUACGAUCCCUAUUAAAGACCUCUUAGAUUGGUAGGGUCGUACCACUUGCGAGAUUGCACAAAACCUUGUUUAGCAUGAUGACAAUGAGAUAGAGUGAUUGUCAAAAUCCCGCGUCAAAUGUCAGGAUGAAACGACCAUUUUUAAUGAGGAUGAGUGUCGCGACCAAUUUUUUUCGAGUGUGAACCACCUAGGGUUUGGCUAAUGGAUUGUUAAGCCUAAACUUAACUCGGGCUCUCCCAAGCCCAUACCAAUUCACGACUUAGGUUCAAGUUCUUAACAUGCAAAUGGAUUUUAUUUAGGAGUCGCCACUAAUCUAUUUUUGGUGGGUCGAUUAGAAACCCAAGUAAAGUAACGGGAGAUUUACUUUACUUCUACGAACCAGAGAUUAUGAAUUCGGGGACUUGGUUACGCUAGACUUUUCUAACGCCCUUUCGGUACCUUUCUCUUUUAUUUCAAAGAAAAUGUUUUGCAGGCAGCUUAGAUUGAUUUUAAAUCUAAUUCUCUAACAUGCGAGGCGAUCAUGCGGGUGUGCAAUCCAUCAAUUUAACACCCAAGAAAGCAAAUAAAAAAAUGCAGGACUUACCUUGUAGCAACGAAAGCAUCUGCAAUGUUAAUUCAAAAUCCACAUCAACAACCCUGGAUAUGGUUUCUAAUUAACACGCAAUUUCUCUUCUUCUUUUUUUCACUUAAUUAACGAAAAUCAUGCAAUAUGCAAUGCAAUAUUAACUAAAUGACCUAACUCUAAUGACAUGUAACUCCUAGUUGAAUGGGCCUAGCAACAACUACCACAUGACAUGCAUUUUAAUGAAUCUAAUCCUAAUGAUGUGCAUGUGACAUUUUUCUUUUCUUUCUUUUCUUUCUUUUUCCUAAAAGAAUGCAAUCUAUCCUAGAAAAUAAAACUAAUUCAACUUAUGGCAUUUUUUGUAUUUUUCAUGAAAUUCGAAAUUAAGUGAAAUGUGAAAAUUACCUAAUUAGAUUAAGAUCCUAAUUAGUUUAUAUUAGGAAUUAGGUUGAGCCAAAUCUUAAUUUAAACCAAGAUAUUAUCUUAACUUAAUAGUCUCUAACCUAAGAUGCAAUUCAUCUAAAUCAAUCUAAACUUAAAAUGAAAUAUGCAAUCUUUUUGUCUUUUCGGGAUAAAUAAAGCAAUUAAAUGAUAAAACACCAAAUCAUUCGCAAUCACCAAAGAUACUAUCCAUCGCUCGAAUUUGAAAACGAUAUCUAGUCCAACUCGAUUAUUUCGCUAAUAAAAUCGAUAAAUUGAUCUUAAGCCUUAAAGAUCAAGCUAUCAAUUUUACUCCCGCGUGGUUAAUUAUUCCAUCUAAAGGCUUAUAGAUGGAAUAAAAAAUCGGUGUGCGGUUGUGAAUUGGGCAACAAAUCCUAACCGGAAAUACGUUCAUAAUUCAAAUAUGCAUGUAAGAUAUUGAAAAGCACGCGUUAGGCAAUAAAAUAUCCAAAUCAAAUUUAAAAUAAGAUAAUUACCUGAUUCCGCAAAUAAUGCUACCAAAUUUGAACCGAACGGAAUCCGCUCAAUGGGUGACAGCGGUGCGUGGUUGUGUUUGGCUAGAUGCGGAGAGGGGCAGCCAUGGGCGGAUGAUUAGUUUCCGCAAUGGGACUAGCGUGAAGGAUUCAUGGAUAACAGUUUGCAUCAAGACGGACGGUGACUGGCUCACGAACAAUGAACCUGCAAGAAUAGAAAGUUCGUAAAAUCAACUCGGUUCUGACACGAGCGGGAAUGGCAGCAUCGGGGCUUCGGACGAGUGCAGGAGCUCCGCCUAGGUUAUUGAAAGUGGAGACAAAAUCCACUAUUUCGAAGGAAGCAUGUUCAUGGGUCCUUGUGUCGAAUAUGAUAGUGAGUAAACAUCUUCAUGAUCUCCGCCUGCCCUUAUUUGGCCGAAUUGUGACCUUUUCUACCGGAACAUAUUACUUUCUUCAAGCUCAUCAAUCUUUUAGACCCGUGGUUUUUCUCAACUUUGUUCCCUUUUUGAAUUCGUGGGACGCCGCGGUUUUGUUGCUGGUCGUGGACAAAAGCACCGGUAAACCUGCAAAAGAGAGCGAGAACACAAGGAAUCGUCUAGGAUAUUAAUCCUGAUAAACUUGCCGAAAUUGCAACGGUUCAGCAAUAAACAACAACUCAGUGAAACGAGGCAAGGAUCGGCGUCGAUGUUGAGAAGGCCAACUGAGGGACUCUUGGACUGUUGUUCACAAGUAGCUGGAGUAGAUCACGGUUGGUGGUGGUGAAGAUCAGGACUGCGGCUCGUUCACUUGGUCCAAUACGGGAAGCGCUGUAGCUAGCAGGAGCACAGCGUCGCAGUGGGAGGAGUCGUGAAGCCGAGACCGCGAAGAAAAUACCUCGCUCUAGCCUCUAUUCUCUCUCUGGAUUAUUGUGUGCUCGGUGUUGACCAGGGAAGAGAGACAAAGCCCCCCUCCUAUUGGACGAAGCAAAGACUCCUCCUUUGUCUUCUUCUCCCUUUGCUUAUGGACGCUUGUUACUCUUUUUUUUUUUUUUUGCAAGAUGUUGACCAAAGACCACGAAGAUCUACUGGAGCAAUUAUUGAACACUUGGACUCCUUGAUGAUUGCCGUGGAAUUGGUAGCCCUGGCCACACGAGGAGUAGCGACAAUGACGUAGGCUCAACAGGAACGAAGCAACGAGCUGACGUAGAUCUCGUAGCCUUCUGGAGAUAUCAUGGCAAGGCCACCUUGUUGUCGGGAGGUAUGCGCGGCAAUGGAUUACCGUCUCGUGACGGCGAACAGCGACAGCCGAUGUGAAGCUCAGUGGCAAGGUCAGCAAGGUCGCAACCACAAGAGGCUCGACAUGUGAUGACUGGCUGAACGCUCCUCACCCCCUCUCAUGUUUUCUACAGCCGUGUCUUCUCAAUUGCGUGGCCAUAUGUGUCGAUAGGUGUGGCCCUCCCCAAACAAAUUGCACGUGAGGUAUUAUAUAGGUCUAAAAAAUAUAUCUCUACGGUAUAUAUUUUUUCCUUUUUAUUCGCGCAUGAUACCCCUAAAUAUAUCGUUGAAAUAUAUCCACCUCGGGCAAUAUUCCCCUUUUGUAUUUUUCACAUAUUCUAUCCAAAAUUUUCCUUUUUGCUCGAAAAUACAUCCUUUGGUGUAUAUUGCCUAAAAAUAUGAAAAGCUUGAACGGAAUAUGUGAAAAAUCUUCCCUUCACCGGCAGCCUAAAAUAAGAUAAAACAAAAUGAAAAUAAAAUGCUUCUAAACUAUAUGCCAUGUGGUUUUUUUUUUUUUAUAGUAAAAAUUAACCCAAAAAUUGUGCAAAAAUUUAGGUGUCAACAAUGAGUGUAAAGUCCUUUCAGAUUGAAAGAUCCUUCAUUUGACACAUCCAUAACGCUCAUGUGUUUAAAUUGGAAUAUCCUUUUGAAAUUCUUCCCAAUGGAAAUUAGGUAAUGCAAGAAUGAUAGAAAUCAUCACGCAUGAACCUCAUUUGAAUUAAUGCAUGUCUGUGAAUGCAUAUUGCUUUUCCUACAACUGUGUUUUGCAGGAAACGCAUCCUCAAGGAACAGAGAUGUCACCAGGUAAGUAUAUCUCUAUCCAUAUCUUAAAUACUUGUCAUUGUACAGGUAUUCCCUUUCAAGCAUUGGCACUUGAUGGAGUUCCCCCCAAAGAAUUUUCCUAGAUUCAUCAGGCGACCGUAGAAUGGUACGAGUCCUAAAAAAUAAACCUUAGUUUAGGCGACCGUAGAAUGGUACGGGUCCUAGACAACAUUCAGGCGAUCGUAGAAUGGUACGGGUCUUGGAAAAUAAAUCCCCGUUUAGGCGACCGUAGAAUGGUACGGGUCCUGGAAAACAGAUCCUCGUUUAGGCAACCGUAGAAUGGUACGGGUCCUAGACAACCUCAGUUCAAGCGACCGUAGAAUGGUACGGGUCCUGAAAAAUCAUUUUUUCGUCAAGGCGACCGUAGAAUGGUACGGGUCCUGAAAAAUAGAUCCCCGUUUAGGCGACCGUAGAAUGGUACGAGUCCUAGACAACCUCAAUUCAGGCGACCGUAGAAUGGUACGGGUCCUGGAAAAUCAUUUUUUUUUUCGUUUAGGCGACCGUAGAAUGGUACGGGUCCUAGACACAACCAAACAAUGCCAUACCAGGCGACCGUAAAAUGGUAUGGGUCCUAGGAAAGCAAUCACUUUGCGAAGUCAUGUUACUAUUCUGGGCGACCGUAGAAUGGUACGGGUCCUGGGAAUGUAACACCAAUCUAUCUUGAGUUACUCUACCAUCCUCGAAGGUAAGUAAUUUCAGGUAAGUUUCUUUGUCAUUUGCAUUAGCAUUUCCAUAUAUCAUAUAAAUUUCAUUUCAAAUUGGGAUUCAUUUUCCCGGAAAAAAAAAAAAAGUCAUUCAGUACAUGUGCAUGAUUAACAUUUAGGUCUCAACUUGUCUUUGAAGGCAACCUCUACGAGCUCACCUUCAAAGAGGGGCAGCUGUUGACACCUAAUUUUGGAAAAAUAAAAUUGCAUUUUGAACAAAUAAAAGGAAAAAUGAAAAAAAAAAUGGAGGAAAUCGAUUUGAUUGAUUAUGCAUGGAAAUUUGAAAUUCUGAUGGAUAUUCAGAUUUUGAUAAAUGCAGAAACAAUUAAAAAUCAGGUGAACAAUGGGUAAGGAUUUUGAUAAAAUGGAAGGAAUCGGUGCAAAAUCGAGCUGAUUGCAAAAUCAUGCUCCGAUUUGCAUCCUUGAUUUAAUGCAACAGAAGAUGGAAGUUUAAAAUAUGCCAUACAAAGCAGCUGUUCGGAAUCAGUAUAAAAGAGAGCUUUAUUUUUCGUAACCAGGGGGGCGAAAAAAAAUUAGGGUGAAUUCAAAAGAAUCUGGAGAGAAAAUUCUUGCGAUUGUCCAUCUUAGUCAAAGGGAAAACCCUUUUUCCCUCAUUUCUCUGACAAGAAAAAGUCAAAAAGAAAAUACAGCAGAGAGAAGAGACAGAGAGAGGAGACGUAGGAAGUGAUGUGAGGAAGAGAAAAAAAGAGGAAACGCUACAGUGUCGUCUUCUCCAAAGGGGCCUCCCGAUCAUUCCAGGCGUGCCUGCGCCGGCCAGCGCGCAGGCGCCACCACCCCCGGCCUCCGCCGCAUCUCCGCCACCGUGCCUCUCCCCCGCCGGUGAUCCCUGCUACCCGGAUUGACGCCCACUACCACGCCUCUGCACCCGCGACCUGCUGCUGCCCAGCUUGACGCCAGAGCUCCGAAGCCUGCCACUCUUGACCUCGCCGCGCCACCGCGCCGCUCGCCUCAGCCCAGCACCCGACAUCUUUGCGGCCCCGCCUUGACUGCCCGUUGCAGCAACCUGCACUAACCCCCUCUGCUCUGCCUGCAGCUACAGCACCGCCCAGUAGCUCGAGGCACUGUUGCUGUUCUCCGCUAGGCAACCCAACGCCGUUGCCUUCUGCUCGCUUGUCACCACGCCAGAGUGCUGCCCGAUUCAACGCACCCCUGCGCCGGAGCUCGACGCCAUCGCCGCCCAGCAGUCCGCGACGCCCCGACGCCAGCCGAGCCCCGCAUCGCUACCGACGUCGCCACCCAGCAACCCACGAUCCAGCUCCACCUCCGCUCCGUUCGAACACCGCUGCCUUGCGACAACCAACACCCGACACCCACGGUAGCCCAUCGUCCUACAAAUCGAGGCCACAAGCGACACCUGCGACAUUUACUCGCCGCACCACCGCUUGGAGUCUGACACUGUGCGCCUCUGCAACCGGCGACCCACCCGUCGCUAAGUCCGGGCCGUUGCUCGCCUCCGCCUCAGAAUCCCGCUCACCAACAUUGCUGCAAGUCCCCUCCCCUCGUUUAGGUAGUUUAAUUUAUUUUUUAUGUUAUUUUUAUUUUAUUUGAUAGCAUCUUUAAGUUUAGUUAUCUAAAUUGCAAUAUUGGAUGUUAAUAUUUGUGAAUUUAGUAUGCAUUAUCUGCAGGGAUUUUGUCUGGAAUUAUUAUAAUUAUUAAUUUGAUCCGAAAGACAUUGGAUCAUUUUUUAAUUAUUUUAAUUGUUGGGCUUUUUAGUGAGAUUUUAAUUGUUAAAUCACAAUAAUUAUUUAAUUUGGUCCGUAAGACUUCAGAUCAGAUUUGUAAUUAUUUUGAUCUCUUUGCUGUGAUAAUUAGGGUUAGAAUAACCGUUAAUUUGACCUGUGAGACGACAGGUUAUUUUUUCGAUUAUUUUAAUCCUUCCUCGCUUGAUUUUGUUGAUAGUUUAGAUUUAAUAAUUACUUAUCUCUUAAAAAAACUAAAAAAAUCAUAAAAUAAAAAAAAAUCAAAAUUCUGCAUGAGCAUAUAGGUUUAGUAAAUCAAGCAUGUAGGUUUAGCAAAUUAGAAUUUUCUUAGGAUUACAUUUUUAGGAUUGCAUUUUUUAGGAAUAAGUUAGGGUUGAACCUAAAUAUUUUUUUUUGGGUUUUAGAUAAUGUUCGCAUAUUCUAAUUAUCUCAUUUUCCCAAAAAAAAAAAAAUAGUUUUCUAAGAUAGGAUAGGGUUUAAGUCAAAUUAAUCCCUAGAAUAGAUUAGAAAAUUAUCCAUUUUUAGAUAGAUUAAUUAGGAUCUUUAUAAAUUCUGAAUUUCAAUAAAAAAAAUCCAAAAAUACUAGGUGCAUGUUAACUAGUUUGCAUAAUAGGAUUAUUUAAUCAGAACUUGUUAAUUAGUGAAGUUAGGUCAUGAGGUGCAUAAUAAUUAGUUUGCAUAAUAGGCCCAUUUAAUUAAAAUUUGCAUAUUAAUAAGAUUAAGUCAUUUAGUUUAAAAAUGCAUUUUUAUAAGAGAAUUCUAAUUUUUAAGAAAAUCCAAAAAAAAAUGAUUGCUUGCUUUGUGUGAUGCAAUUUAUUUAUUUGAAUGUUUUAAUAAUGGAUGAGUACCCGUGUGGUCACCAUUUGCAUGAUAGUAAUAUAGCUUAAAAUAAAUCAAAGCUGCCUGAAAAAACAUUUUUGAAAUUAAAAAGAAAUGAUACCGAAAGGGCAUUAGAAAAUUCUAGUGUAACCAAGUCCUCGUACCCUUAGUCUCUGGUUCGUAGGAGUAAAAUAAAUCUCCAUUUAUUUUACUUAGGUGUCUAAUCGACCUACCAUAAACCGAUUAGUGGCGACUCCUAGAUAUUAAUCAUUUGCAUGUUAAAUAAUUGAACAUUAAGUCGCGAUUUGGGUAUGGGCUUGGGAGAGCCCGAGCUAAGUUUUAAAAAAAAAAAACUUAGUAGUCCAUUAACGUAGUUUUAGGUGGUACACCCGAAAAACAGGUCGCGACAACUACUAUCGACGAACUUCUAUGUAGCAUGGAAUUUAUGAAAGCAAUAGGUUAUGUAUGAACAAAAAUUUGUUACAUACAAAAAGGUAACAUUCCAUGUAGAUUUUAUAUAAAAUUUUAAAAAUAACUAUCCUUAUGGUAAACUUCUUCAUUGAUCAUAAUUGUCCUUUAUACUUCCUAACAGUCUUCAAAUGAUAGUAAAUUUUGUAAUUCAUUGAUUGAGUUCAAGGAAGGGAAGAAGGUUGAUGUGGUAGCCACCAUCACCGAUGGUCCCCUUUACUACCCCACUUAGCCCUAUCAAGCCCUCGCAAGGUUACAUGACCCAAGCAACGUAUCGAGCGGGACACAUAUGUCAGUCAAACUAAAAACCCCUUAAAAGGAUGAUCAGUUCAUAGAUUGGUAGAUUUCAUAUUCCAUGUGUGAAAUCUACCUUAUUAUAGCCGUUUCCUAGAUUUGGAACUAAGAACUAAUCUUAUUGACCUUAGAAUCAACCCUCUAACUAAACUUGUCGGUCUGGGUAGGUUUCAAGGUCUACCCAAAAACCAAUUGAUUUUUUCCCCCUUUUUGGUGGUUUCCACUACAAUCUAUAGUGUACAAUAUCUCUGAGUGAGAAUUGUGGCUCGUACGUUGAUAAUAAAUUAGACAUAAUGAAGUUAUUAGUGUGGCGACCUCUUUUUUUUCGACGCCCGAUCGGGGCGAGCGCCUUCGGAGGCUGAUGGUUUGGCUAAAUUUAUUAGGCCUAGACUCUCCCAAGUCUGCCAAUUCACGACUUUAAUAGUCUAAAUUUUUAAUUUGUAAGUUAAUUUUUAAAACAAAGUCGCCACUAAUCAAUUUGAGGUGGGUCGAUUAGAAACCCAUGCGAAGUAUCGGGAGAAAUACUCGCUCCUGCGCAACUAGAGAACACUAGUUAAUUACUAAUGCCAUUUCGGUACCUAAUCUUGUUUAAACCCUAAGCUUUUUUGGAUUUUUUUAGGGAUUUUCCAUUCAUUUGUGGGAGGAAAAACAUUUUUUGAAUCUUUUUCUAAUUUUUUUGACAUAAAAGGGAUUUUUUUUUUUGGUAUUUUUGGAAAAAUACAAGUCUUUUGCUUUUUCAUGAAUUUUUGGCUUUUUUUGGAUUUUUGGCAUUUUUUGGAAUAUUUUUGAUUUUUUUUUAUUUUUGGAAAAUAAAAUAUUUUUUAACAUUUUUAAAUAUUUUUUGGUUUUCUAGAAAUUAAAAUAUUUUUUAAUAUUUUUCGAAAAUAAAUUAUAUUUUGGAUUUUUUUGGAAAAUAGAAUAUUUAUUUAUUAUUUAAAUAAAAUUUAAAAAGCCGACCCGGGUUGGAUCCGCGGGUUGGGUCUGACCCGGGUCGUUGACCCAAAACGCCUCGACCCGCUCUCUGACCCGGUUCACAGCCGCGACCCGAUUCGCGGAACCCUACCUGGACGCCUGCCCAGAUCCGCCCGACUUCGACCCGCCUUCCCCUUCGCCGACCCGAAUUUCUGGAGUUCACGAGAUCUGGCGAUUCGCGGCGUUGAUGAGGGACGGAGGGGGUCAGACAGACAGCAGCCCGGCGUCCGACGGCGGCGACGUCGCAGCCGACAGCCGGCCACUCAAUUGGAUUGACGACGGGGCUCGUGGCGCAGCAGUAGGAGACGCGAUGAAGGCCCCCGAUUUACUGAGGUCGAGAUCCGGAGAUUAAUGGGUUUCGAGAGAGGGGGGGUGCGACGAUGGCUACGCAACCGGAGGCGGCGGAUACCUGGUGGCAGCGAAUGGUGGUGGUGGCGAGGACAGGGCAGCGACGGCGGUCCCUCGACUCUUAGAUCCGAUGUGGCGUUGGCGGGUCAGUCGUGGCACGGCGUCGGGGCGAGGAACAGCAGCAGCAGAGCAGCGGUCGCAACGAUGGCGCUGAGCUUCCAGCUUCCCAGAUCUGGCAUGGUGCCCUCCGAUUCCUCUCUCGCUCAGCCUCCACCCGCUCGGAUCUCUCCCCCCCGGGCUCGCUUGCCGCCGGCCUCCCCCGAAGUCUCUCGGAGGGAGGUCGUUCGAGCUUCGCGACCCGAUCUCUUGCGUGCUCGCUCGUUGAUUCUCCCUGAAGUCUCUCUAAGGAAGAUCUCCGAGUUCGCCGUGUCCUUUGACGGAACUUGUGGCCUGCUAUUUAUAGGUGAGGGGGCGGCCGGUCGACGAAGCUUCGAUCGCCGGUCUUCGCGCACCGAACGGUCCUCCUCGGCUGAACCGGCGUCCCAUCCGAGCUUAUCCAGCGAAGCGUGCUCGGCAUUGAUGGCGCCUGAGAUCUUAUCCUCUCCGGCCGACGUCGGCCUACUCCCCUUGGCCGUAGGCCGUCCUUCGCGCGUCAGUGUCCUCUGUGCGCGUGAGCUGAAGAGGCGUAGGGGAAGAUGGAAGAAGGAAGAAGAAGAAGAAGAGAAGGGGCUGGGUUGGUUUGCGCGGGCCGGGCCAUGGGGCUUGUGUGAGAGAGAAAAGAGGGGAGGGGCUGCUUUUUUUUUUCUUUUUUUUUUCUUGCUUUUUUAUUUAUUAUUUAUUAUCCGAAAAAGGGAAAAAAUAAAUAUAUAAAAAAACUAAUUAAUUAAAAAAAAACGAAAUUUAGGGGUCAACAAUUAGUAUACAAGUAUAACUGGCAUACUUAAAACUUCAAUUGAUAUCUUAGAUUUGGAAAAACUUAGAAAACUAAACAAGCAUGAUGAAGUUGUAAUUAUCCCACUAUAAUCAUAAAGUCGUAAGUAUGCCACUAUAAUCAUCAAACUUAUUCCUUGCACUCCUAUUUGGAUUGGCGAUUUUUUUCUUUUGGGUGGUCUCCACUCUAAUUUGUAGUUGAUAAAAACUUUAGAUAAGAACAAUGGCUUGCACGCUGUUAACAAUUUAACGUAAUAAAGUUACAAGUAUAUAAGCAUAGUUGGCAUACUUAAAACUUCAAUUGAUAUUUCAAUUUUACAAAACUACAUCAGUAUGAUGAAGUUACAAAUAUUCCACUAUAAUCAUCAGUCUUAUUCAAUCCACCUCUUAUUAGGGUUGGUUUUUUUUUUGGUCAGACUUGUUAGGGUUGGGUAUUAGUUUUGAAACUGAGAACCUAUUAUGUUGACCCUAAAAUCGACCCUUGAACUUAACCUAUCAACCUAGGUCAUUUUCAAGGUUAACAUGGGAACCGACCGAUCUUCAUUCUUUUUGGUGGCGUUUACUACAAUUUGCAGCCAACAGCAAUUCUGGAUGAGAACUUUGGCUCGCACGCUGAUGACAAAUUAAACAUAAUGAAGUUAUAAGUUUUUAAAGUAUAGUUGGCACACGUAAAACUUCAAUUGAUUUCUCAAAUCUAGAGAAACUAUGAAGUUAUAAGUAUGGCACUAUAAUCAUCAGACUAUUUCGUCUACCCCUUGUCACGGUCGGUUCCAGUCUUGGAACUAAGAAAUGAUCCUAUUAACCGUAGAAUGAACCCUCAAACCGAACUUGCCGACUGAGGCCGAUUUUAGGGUCAAUCGAAGAAACUAUUGAUUUUUCUUUUCUUUUUGGUUGUUUCCUCUACAAUCUGCAGAAGACAACAAGUCUGAACGAGAACUAUGGCUCGCACACUGAUAACAAAUUAAACAUGAUGAAGUUAUAAGUAUACUUGACAUAUUUAAAACUUCAAUUGAUAUAUCAGAUUUGGAAUUUAGAAAAACUAUAUAAGUAUGAUAAUGCGUCGGUAUAUCUUUUCGCUUCUUGUUCAAAUCUAUUCAGCAGAGCAUGCACGGCGCAAGGAUGCAGGCGCAAAGCACUCCGGCCGCUCACAAAGCCAGUUCCUUCCCAUUCCAUUCCUCUAACGGCUAGCGUUAAACCUGAAAAAUUCAAUGGUCUCCAUGAGGAAAGGUUGGACAAAAAGCACAAGCAAACUGGUUUAGGCAAGCUGGUUCGGGUGAAGCAAAUGAUUUGACUGGUUCUAGAAUAAUCCAAGGCUCUUCCUUUGCUUGCCUUGUCUGAAAGCUACUAUUUGUGUUCAUUGUUCAUGAACUAAAAGGCAAAUCCUAUUGUGGCCUGAACUAGGGGGCAUCAGGCAUGUCAAAGCUGUGCCAGGUUCAUCAAAUGUAAAUUAUGGACAAAAUGCUUGGCGUCAAUCGUCAGUUUCUCCGUUCUUUGUGCUUAUUUCUUUAUGCUGGCCAAGAGAAUACAGAUCCAGGAAGGGGCACAGAUUAGGAGGACAAAAUACCACAUUGAAAAAAGUUGAAAUCGGUCUCUACUCCUUGCUCUCAAAGUGGUUCUCUAGUAUUUACUACAGGGUUACUUCUGUGGGAAUUGCUAUCCAACAGGUUCACGUUCGUCCUGCCAUUGGGACCUACCGGGUCAGUAAGGUGAAUCCUCCCCGAAUUCAGUGGGCAUCGACUCCCAAUAAAGACUCGGUCUCCAGUCAGCCUCUUUGAGAACUCUCAGUAUUUCCUCCACCACGAUCUUACUUCCCUCUGGGGAGAAAUGGAUGCCGUCCCUGCAUAAAAAGGAUCAGAGAGCAUAGCUUUCAGCCAAAAGCGAACUGAGAUACCAUGCACAAUUCCAGUUUAUCUAUUAUUAGGAUCAAACAUGUCUCGUCCAUUUUGGUGCUCACAACUGAUUGAGGGAAAACUGAAAGUGAGCUGAUUUCAGGCUCCGUUGCUUGCUUGCAUAGGGGACAUCGUUUGAUCAUGCACGUCAAGUUAGGAGGUCGUAACAAAGUCUAAUGAAUAGGUCUUGUUUGAAAUGUGGUGGAAUCUGAACAAGGGGUGUUCUCAACACAACAUUAACUAGUUGCAGCUAACCAAUCCUUGGACAUAAUCAGAUGAAUUAUUUGAGAAGCAAAUCAUACUAGUGAAAGCUCUGAUAUGAAGAGCUUCCGUUACCUAAAGAAAUUAAACACUGCCUCACAAACUAAAUUUGUAGUGGUUGGUUUCUGCAAUGCAAAACCAUUGCUAUUCUAUGAGCCCGUCAAUUGCUGAGAAAGGGGUGUUAUCAGUAAAGAGCACUGACACAGCUUUAGAGCCUUUCUUUAGAACAAGUUUAGAUUAAUUUUAGAAUGGUAUUGUGCUUUUUAUUUGAUAUGCAUAUACAGAAGUUUGAACUGGAAUGGUUGAGGUAACCCUGUUUAUUCUACUUUUUCUGCAUCUCUCAAUCCUUUUCAUGUGUUUCUAAGCAAACUUACGUAAAGCAUGCCGUAGCCCAAUCAUCCCUCUUCUGCAUUGCAGUCCACAGAUCAACAGCCUUGAUGUUCAUCUCCCCGCACAGCUUUAUACAGGCCUCCGAGUAUACUCGACACAACUCAUUUGUUCGCCUUAGUUCUUGAUUCUUAUCGCUGAUCCCAGGUAAUAAAGUUCUAUCAGAAUUCAACAGGCAAAACAGAGACUAAAAAGUAUGAGAAGUUCAAGAUAACACACCUCCAAGAUUCACGAAUUUUCUCCUCAUUGACAGGUGGAGCACUAAGAAAAAUGACGCGCGUACAAUCCGACAGGCUCUGCUAAGAAAGCAUGACAGCUUUAGAAUUUGUCUCAAGCAGAGGAAAAGAGAGAUUUUCUUUUUGGGAUAAUAAUAAAAGGCUCGAUGAGUUGUAUCACUUGAGCUCUACAGUUUAUUAGUUUACAUCAUGCGUUAGUCUACUCUCUGUGGUGAAAGUAAGCAUCAGUGCACAAUGGUGACUAUGAGAAACCUUGAAAAGAAUGUCGCUCUCAUAAGUCGCUCGCACCUCUUUGCUUAUGAUGCACUCGUUCAAAUCAUUCCCUAAUAUUGUCAUCAACAGACAAUUUAAUCAUCUAUUCUACCUUGAGAUAUUUGGCAAUCUUCCUCAUGUUCUCGACAUACUCAGGAAGCGGUACAUGAGAGCCAAGACCAGAUGGCUGAGGCCGCAUUGAGUCAUUUCCGCCGAAAUAGACGAUCACCAGGGAUGGUUGUGUGGCUGCAUCCUAGCAUUGAGGUAGUUACAGAAAUUUAGCCGCAGAUUCUUUAUUAAUUGACACUAGACCUAAAAAAUAAGAAACCUUGAUGAUCACGAGAUGUGAUCUUAAGAACAUAAACUAGACAUCCUCCACAAACAAUUGCUGCUAAAGCUUUUCAACAUGCAGCCCCAUCUGUAGACAAUGCUGAUGAGCAAACGAUGUAUCUACAAGCAAAAUACCGAAAAUGUAUAAUUUCAAGAAGGGCAGAAAAUAUUAAGAGCCCAAAGAUUUGAG
RNAcentral lists this long non-coding RNA (32503 nucleotides) under Eucalyptus grandis. RNAcentral describes it as "long non-coding RNA (EGRA_LNC001034)". Lineage: Eukaryota; Viridiplantae; Streptophyta; Magnoliopsida; Myrtales; Myrtaceae. The record is from RNAcentral.